RNAcentral lists this ribosomal RNA (253 nucleotides) under uncultured bacterium. RNAcentral's name for it is "partial 16S ribosomal RNA". It matches the Rfam family "Bacterial small subunit ribosomal RNA", at positions 524 to 776 of the family's 1533-position model. The record is from RNAcentral.
UACGAAGGGGGCUAGCGUUGCUCGGAAUUACUGGGCGUAAAGGGUUCGUAGGUGGUGCGGUAAGUUGGGAGUGAAAUCUCUGGGCUUAACUCAGGGGCUGCUUUCAAAACUGCCGUGCUCGAGUGCGAGAGAGGUCAGUGGAAUUGCAGGUGUAGCGGUGAAAUGCGUAGAUAUCUGCAGGAACACCCGUGGCGAAGGCGGCUGACUGGAUCGCAACUGACACUGAGGAACGAAAGCUAGGGGAGCAAACAGG